ACUUGCAAGAUGGUGAACUAUACCUGAGCAGGAUGAAGCCAGAGGAAACUCUGGUGGAGGUCCGAAGCGAUUCUGACGUGCAAAUCGAUCGUCUGACUUUGGUAUAGGGGCGAAAGACUAAUCGAACUAUCUAGUAGCUGG
RNAcentral lists this non-coding RNA (141 nucleotides) under Onchocerca volvulus. RNAcentral describes it as "Eukaryotic large subunit ribosomal RNA". It matches the Rfam family "Eukaryotic large subunit ribosomal RNA", at positions 814 to 954 of the family's 3401-position model. The record is from Rfam by way of RNAcentral. Lineage: Eukaryota; Metazoa; Nematoda; Chromadorea; Rhabditida; Onchocercidae.